GUAAUUGACGAAGCCCUUUGUGGGGGCUAUCCCAUGAUGCUCUGCCUGCCACAGGCUUCCUUAGCCUGCCUCAGUAUCCAUCUUGCUAUCCUGGGGGCCUCAUCACAGUUGCGGACUACAAAAUACUGGAUCCGAAUUGACAGCACACCGGCAGCCCAGCAGCUCCGUCUUCUUCCCCACGUGUGGCUGUCGAUUGGCGGUUUUUUUCUCCCUAAUUACCCAUCUGCUAGAGAGGAAAGUAACACCACAUCAUUUAGAAGAAAUGCACCUGUUUAUCGAAAGGCAAGAAUAACCUAGUUUGCAAGGAUCCUUGGCUCUCCAACUUGCCUCCACAGACUCAAUAUCACUGCUGUUUUUCCAGGUGAUCAAAUGACUCUGACUCCAGACUUUCCAAAUCCGUCGUUCAACCUUCAUCUAUCAUUCCCUGCACGUGCUUUACAGCACGAGAGAGGGUUAUAUCACUGAGCAGGCCAGUUCUUCCUUUGAAGUUCUGAGUGUGAACCAGAGCCAUCUUUGUAUUUACUUAGAGAACCGAGGGAGGCCGAAACCCACAGAAGCUGGAGAAACUUUUGAUAUGCGCUGUCAUCAGGAAAGAAACUCUUUCAGGUCUGGUUCCACCACAUCCUGCAAAGUUCAAAACGACAUCGUGCGAAGUUCAAAACGAAUUCUACUUCAGUCUUAUCUCUAGCCUAAGAUACGUAAUUGUAAUUCAUCAAAAAAUAUCAACGGAGUUCUUGAUUGCCAGAAAGCCGUGACUCCUCUGCUGGGGAAGUGUAGGAAUUUUUGCACUUUGCAUCCUACUGAAAUUCUAAGCAGCUUUUGCUGCCACCGUUAAGUGAGGGUCACUUCCUACCUGGAGAACCAGAAAGAUUGGAAACGUCUUGAGGCAGCCGUAAGUUUCUUCGGUCAGCUAUCGUAGCAUGGGAAACAGAGUCCUCCAGCCUUCUCUUAAUGGAUAUGUGCUUCCUUUAAGAAUUAUUUUUUGUCUUGAUGUAGGUGUGUAUGUCUGCAUGGUAGGUGUGUUCAGGUGGCCACGGAAGUGAGAAGGCGGCACUGGUCCCCUGGAACUCUAACAGCUGUGAGCUGCUGUGUGACUACAGGAAUAGAACCUAGUUCUUCCGCUAGGAAGCCAGCGCUCUUAACUACUGAGCCAUCUCUGCAGCCACAUGUGUAUAUGUUUUAAUGACCAUGUGUUCAUGCUAAAACAUGCUACUGAUCAUGUUGUAACAUGCUAUUUAUACUACCACUGAGCCAUCUCUGCAGCCACAUAUGUAUAUGUUUCAAUGACCAUGUGUUCAUGCUAAAACAUGGUACAGAUCAUGUUGUAACAUGCUAUUUAUGCUACCACGCACUCUAAAUUUUAUUAACAUUUUUGGCAAGUACUUUUGUCAAUAAUGGUAUUUUUGUUUGGUUGAUUACUGGCUGAUGACUUAAUUAUCUAGUUAGAAUUAUGUAUUAUGAGGCUGGAGAGCUAGCUCAUUAGUUAAGACAAUUAGCUUCUCUCCUAGAGGAUCCUAGCUCAGUUCCCGGCACCGAGACAACCUGUAUGUCUAGCUCUAGGGCUUUAAUGACCUCCUCUGGUCUCCUCUGACCUCUGUGGGCUCUGCAUCCAUGCAGUACACAGACACUCGAGAACAUUUCUAUACAUACAAUUUAAAAUAGAAUUCUUUUUAACUUUUAAUGUUUUCUAUUUUUCAACAUGGGGUAUAACAUUGUAGAAGUAGGUACUAUUUUUCCCCAGAGGAGGUACGUCCUUGCAGGGAAUAUUAGGUAUAUACUUAGAACCUUUGUGAAUGAAAAUCCAGUUGUUUGGCAAGACUAUUGAUAAGAAAGAAAUAGUUACAAACAAGACACAAAUGAGCUAAGAACACGAUUCUGUUAUUUCUGUUGGUUUGGUUAAUCUUCAAUUUAGUUAUAGGUCAAUGAAUGCAUUUUUUUCCUUAAGAUUUUGUGUUUCCUCUUCUGACUGAAGUGAGUAGUUGGGCCUUCCGAGUAGGAGUCUCACUUUCUCCCUUCGUCUGUGACCCGUGUCAUUGGUAUUCAGGCUUAUGUCUAGCAGGCUACCAGAGCCAACCUCCUGCCUGAGCAGUAGUGAGAGCAGACAUGUUGCUGGUGGCAGGACAGUGUUCCAGGCUUUCUAAUUAAGUGUAGCAUUACAGAUGUUUUAACUGCCUGUUAGCAAGUUGAGCAUUUUCAAUUUCCUCAGAUUUCCUAACCGCUUUUAUUAGAAAUAACUGUUAAACAUUACCAAAUUCUUUUUGUGCUUGGCUAUAGCCACAUAUACUCUUUUUCAUAGUCUGCUUAUCGUGAAUUCCAUCCAUUAACUCUUUAACAUUAUGACACUUAUGAUGCACAUAUGUAUCUAUAUGUAUCUUAUUUCGCAAAUUGCCUAAGUGUUUGUAUAGAAUUUUAUGUCUGAGCAUAUUGUUUAUAUACAAUUUCAUAUCUGAACACCUUUUUCAUCACAUGGAAAAACAGAAUUAUUAUGAAUAUUGAUUUUUAAAAAAGCCAUGAAGAUAAAAUGUCAAAAAAAAAACCAAGAAAGCUCCAGUGUGACUGCUCCUGUGGUGAGGCUCUCGGAGAGGCAGAGUCCUCCCAGCAGGACCAUAUUUUCUAAGACAGAAAUUUGUGUUGUGGUAAAAAUAAAAUCAUCAAGUAGUUAGGCAUAUGUGCUGUGGACAUUCAUGAAUGAUUAAAUUAGAAAAUAUGACAGUCCCUGCUAUUUAAUGGGAACUGAAUAUAAUUGGAAAGAAAACCACAUUCUUUAGUCAUUGUAUCAACUGAUAUUUUGUUUACCAAAUGGCUUUGGCGAGAAUAUGCUCUAAUACUGACAUUUGUUACCCUCCACGGCUCUUGCAUAGGGAGAAAUGCUUGUGGAAUUUCUUUUUUUUUUACUGGCUGGGGGAAAGGCUACCUACUGCAGUCUUAAAAAUGACCAAGUUCUUUCAGAAAAAAAGAAUUUAGGUAUAAAUUGGCACUGAAUUUUAAAAUGUUCCUGGGAUAUAAAACAUUUUCAUAAAAAUGAAUAACUGUGUUAGGAACCUCAGGAUUUAAUUAAAAUGUCCUGAAUUACAACUGUCUUCACUGGCCAUAAAUAUCUACAACCCUCACCACCCCCCUUCUGCAAUAUCUGGCUAUCUCUCUGUCCUAUUUCGUCUCCUGAAUUUAAAUGUUCAUUGUACUUCUUGGAAAUCAGAGUAACACAUAUUUAUCAGAUACGUGUUGGGCUUAGUUGUUGGGGCAUUUGCGUACGUGAUGGCAUGGACGCCCAAGCACACGAGAAUAAGCUCUGUAGCAUAGUCUCAUAUGCCUGUCGCUGUCUAUGCUACCGCCAUAUGCUGUUCCCCUCAGAUUUGCUGAACAUUCCUCUGCACACACAGGGCCAUUUCAGGAAGCCUGCUGCAGACUGUUUUGAGCCAUGUCCACUGACAUUAGUGCUACUUUGAGAGCUGCCCCCGAGGUACUGCCUAGAAAUUUCAGAGACCCUCCUUUCUGCCAGAACAAUUUCAUCGAGAUGAAAUCGAAAUCUGGCUUGAUACUGAGAAGGACAUUUGCGCUUAAUGCCCGUGGAAAAUUCUGUGUUCGCGCACCUAACGGAGCAUAAGAGUUUAUUUUCCGAUCAGCUGCAGAAGUGACAUGGCACUGCCAGCCAAGAUCAGCAGAGACGUGACAUUUACGGGUGGACUGGGAGCAUCUGACAAGGUGGCGCACACCUGCAAUCUCAGAACCUUGGAGGAGGAAGCAACUACAUCCCUGAGAGUCGGUGGACAGUCUGAUCUCCGGGCCAAAUUAGCUUCCCACAUGCUUUUUGCUUGGGAACUGAAACCAGUUUUUCUAAUUAAUGAUUAAUUAAUUUUGUGCUGUGAAGGAUUAGAUACAAGGUCUCAGACUACCACAAAAGCAUUCUACUGCUGGUCUAUAUCCUCUGCCCUUGAUUAUUUUUUAUUUUAAAACAUUUAUUUACUUUAUUGUGUGUGUAUGUGUUGGCCUGCAUGUAUGUAUAGCAUUGAACUUGUUUCUUCCUCAGCCAUCCCAAGUACUGGGUAUACAGACAUGUACCGUCAUGAACAUGUUUUUUAAUGUUAUGAACCCUUCUGUGUACACUUGAUAAAGGCUUGGCAUAGGAGGGAGAAGAGGAGGAAAACCAGUAGUUUUAAGGACAGACAUGUGGGCAUGGGAUGGUUCAGUUCACUCAUGAGAUGCCAUCUUGUGGAUAUGGCAUGGUCAUGAACUCACAGUAGCUGUUAUUUCUGCACAAGAUAUCAACAAGUCCAAGCUGUUCAGAAUUUCAACAUGGAUGUGGUGGGGCAUGAUCCCUGCCCUUGUCAGAGAAGCUAUUAGCAUGGGUAGCCAUGUGGGAAGGAAAAUCAGUCUUCUCUGAAAGUAUGGGCACUGGUACUUUGCCGGUGCUCCAGAGGAUGGGCUCACACCCGUGUACACACGAGCAUCACUAAUUGAGUUUAUGAGUUUUUAACAAAAAAAAAAAAAAAGAAAAAAGAAAAAAGAGGACAUGAAGUUGGA
RNAcentral lists this small RNA (4521 nucleotides) under Rattus norvegicus (Norway rat). Its description in RNAcentral is "uncharacterized LOC102552372". Lineage: Eukaryota; Metazoa; Chordata; Mammalia; Rodentia; Muridae. The record is from RNAcentral.